RNAcentral lists this ribosomal RNA (467 nucleotides) under uncultured bacterium. RNAcentral describes it as "partial 16S ribosomal RNA". It matches the Rfam family "Bacterial small subunit ribosomal RNA", at positions 28 to 506 of the family's 1533-position model. The record is from RNAcentral.
GACGAACGCUGGCGGCGUGCUUAACACAUGCAAGUCGAACGGAAAGGCCCUGCUUUUGUUGGGUGCUCGAGUGGCGAACGGGUGAGUAACACGUGAGUAACCUGCCCUUGACUUUGGGAUAACUUCAGGAAACUGGGGCUAAUACCGGAUAGGAGCUCCUGCUGCAUGGUGGGGGUUGGAAAGUUUCGGCGGUUGGGGAUGGACUCGCGGCUUAUCAGCUUGUUGGUGGGGUAGUGGCUUACCAAGGCUUUGACGGGUAGCCGGCCUGGGAGGGUGACCGGCCACAUUGGGACUGGGAUACGGCCCAGACGCCUACGGGAGGCAGCAGGGGGGAAUAUUGCACAAUGGGCGGAAGCCUGAUGCAGCAACGCCGCGUGCGGGAUGACGGCCUUCGGGUAGUAAACCGCUUUCGCCUGUGACGAAGCGUGAGUGACGGUAAUGGGUAAAGAAGCACCGGCUAACUACGU